This 625-nucleotide ribosomal RNA is filed under the name Klebsiella pneumoniae. RNAcentral describes it as "bacterial SSU rRNA". It matches the Rfam family "Bacterial small subunit ribosomal RNA", at positions 847 to 1479 of the family's 1533-position model. Lineage: Bacteria; Pseudomonadati; Pseudomonadota; Gammaproteobacteria; Enterobacterales; Enterobacteriaceae. The record is from RNAcentral.
CGCAGAUAACGCGAUAAAUCGACCGCCUGGGGAGUACGGUCACAAGAAUAAAACUCAAAUGAAUUGCCGGGCGCCCGCACAAGCGGUGGAGCAUGUGGUUUAAUUCGAUGCAACGCGAAGAACCUCACCUGGUCUUGACAUACACGAAACUUUCCAGAGAUGGAUUGGUGCCUUCGGGAAUUGAGAUACAGGUGCUGCAUGGCUGUCGUCAGCUCGUGUUGUGAAAUGUUGGGUUAAGUCCCGCAACGAGCGCAACCCUUUUCCUUUGUUGCCAGCAUUUCGGCUGGGAACUCAAAGGAGACUGCCAGUGACAAACUGGAGGAAGGCGGGGACGACGUCAAGUCAUCAUGGCCCUUACGGCCAGGGCUACACACGUGCUACAAUGGCAUAUACAAAGGGAAGCGACCUAGCGAGAGCAAGCGGACCUCAUAAAGUAUGUCGUAGUCCGGAUUGGAGUCUGCAACUCGACUCCAUGAAGUCGGAACGCUAGUAAAUGGGGAUCAGAAUGCCGCGGGAAACGUUCCCCGGGCCUGUACACACCCGCCCGUCACCCCAUGGGAGUGGGUGCCCAGAAGUAGGUACCUAACGCAAAGAGGGCGCUACCACGGUGUGAUUGAUGACUGGG